CUUGGCAUGUAUUUCAGGAAACCGUUUAUGCUUCUGCAGAGUAAGACCAAAAGUAAAGAAUGUAAUGCACUGGGGUGUCUUGCACUUUAAAACAGAAUAUUCCCCCCCCCCCAAAAGGAGUCUUAUUUGUGUGCAGUGGAGCAUCUCAAGCCAAUGGGAUAAAGUGAAUCAGUGCAAUUAGUGUUUGGUUUGACAGAUUCUGGUUUCACAGUCUUCAUCUCCAAUGGACCUGGGACAUACCAGAGCCCCCAAAUUAGCAUCUGGGUAAGAACGCUUCUGUAACCAUUCGGUCUGUGGCA
This 299-nucleotide long non-coding RNA is filed under the name Numida meleagris (helmeted guineafowl). Its description in RNAcentral is "lncRNA (ENSNMEG00000020990.1)". Lineage: Eukaryota; Metazoa; Chordata; Aves; Galliformes; Numididae. The record is from RNAcentral.